UCCAUGGAGCUUGCUCCGGAAGAUCUAGUGGCGAACGGGUGCGUAACACGUGAGAAACCUGCCCCGAUCUCUGGGAUAACAGUUGGAAACGACUGCUAAUACCGGAUGCCGUCACACCGCUUCAUGGCGGAGUGCCGAAAGAUUUAUCGGAUUGGGAGGGUCUCGCGGCCUAUCAGCUAGUUGGAGAGGUAACGGCUCACCAAGGCAUCGACGGGUAGCUGGUCUGAGAGGAUGAUCAGCCACACUGGGACUGAGACACGGCCCAGACUCCUACGGGAGGCAGCAGUGGGGAAUCUUGCACAAUGGGCGAAAGCCUGAUGCAGCAACGCCGCGUGCGGGACGAAGGCCCUAGGGUUGUAAACCGCUUUCAGUAGGGAAGAAAAUGACGGUACCUACAGAAGAAGGUGCGGCCAACUACGUGCCAGCAGCCGCGGUGACACGUAGGCACCAAGCGUUAUCCGGAUUUAUUGGGCGUAAAGAGCUCGUAGGCGGUUUGGUAAGUCGGGUGUGAAAACUCUGGGCUCAACCCAGAGAGGCCACCCGAUACUGCUAUGACUAGGGUACGGUAGGGGAGCGGGGAAUUCAUGGUGUAGCGGUGAAAUGCGCAGAUAUCAUGAGGAACACCAGCGGCGAAGGCGCCGCUCUGGGCCGUAACUGACGCUGAGGAGCGAAAGCAUGGGUAGCAAACAGGAUAGAUACCCUGGUAGUCCAUGCCGUAAACGUUGGGCACUAGUGUGGGUCUCACCAACGAGAUCC
This 756-nucleotide ribosomal RNA is filed under the name uncultured bacterium. RNAcentral describes it as "bacterial SSU rRNA". It matches the Rfam family "Bacterial small subunit ribosomal RNA", at positions 70 to 842 of the family's 1533-position model. The record is from RNAcentral.